GCCGUGUCCAUCUACAUCUCUGCUGAGGGAUCGGGUAGCCUGCAGUUUGCCCUCUGCUGUGUUGGUUUGAAGCUCAUAGGAGACUUAAGACGGGCUCUCGAGCAACCAGCGUUCUGUCUUUUGCCGUAGACUGUGAAGCAUCCUGUGUGUGUGAAGCACCCGCCAUCAGUCAAGUAUGCCCGGUGCUUUCUCUCAGAACUCAUCAAAAAUCCCUCGGAAGGCUCGGUCACACUCUCUGAGAGCACAGCCAUCAUCUCCCACGGUACCACAGGCCUGGUCACAUGGGA
Molecule: long non-coding RNA, 287 nt
Filed under: Pan troglodytes (chimpanzee)
Lineage: Eukaryota; Metazoa; Chordata; Mammalia; Primates; Hominidae
Description: long non-coding RNA NONPTRT002075
Source: RNAcentral